This is a long non-coding RNA of Sphaeramia orbicularis (orbiculate cardinalfish), 212 nucleotides long. RefSeq lists it as uncharacterized. The record is from RefSeq and is a predicted model, not a curated record. NCBI's taxonomy places the organism in Eukaryota, Metazoa, Chordata, Actinopteri, Kurtiformes, Apogonidae. The transcript is spliced from 3 exons.
CAUGUUUUUAAUGAACAUUUUUUGUUCUGUUUGUUUUUGGUCUGAAUUCAGCAGCUGUUCAUUUGUGUCGGAUCGUUUCAAUUCUGAUCCGUCCACUAAAACCAUCCCAUAAUUUUAAAACAUGGAGUGUGAAGUAUGUAGAAAAUACUCACCUGGACACUGGAGGGUUAGUGAUAGGAGGGUUUGGUACCAGAUCUACCUCCAAACACUGU